RNAcentral lists this non-coding RNA (30 nucleotides) under Mus musculus (house mouse). The record is from RNAcentral. Lineage: Eukaryota; Metazoa; Chordata; Mammalia; Rodentia; Muridae.
UGAACUUGUGGUUCUGCUUCAUGGUGCUGG